UAAAAAAAGAAUAAGAACACGUUUGAUACGACUCAUAAAUUUUUUGUGCCAUAGAAUUUCUUCCAAUUUUUUAAUAAUUUUUUAAAAUUUUUCUUUUUUUUCUUUUUCCUCUCUUCUUUCUCCUCCUCUAGCCAAUUGUAGUGGCGACAGCGGUGGCCGGCGACCAGCGAAAGCCAGUGACCAGAGGCGGAGGCAGCUAGCAACCGACAGCAGGCGGCGACAACCAACGCCGAGCGCCUACUCCAGCGACCUGAAAUUUCACAAAAGAUCCUCACCUAAACGACCGGUGACGACCAAUGCCGAGCACCUACCCCAGCGACCCGAAAUUUCACAAAAAAUCCUCACCUAAACUCCGGUAUGAACACCAGAAAUUCCAGAAAUAAAACAAACACAAAGGCACUAAAAAAUGGAGAGAGACGUACUGCAGGCUCGCCGACGUGGGGAGGCUAGCUCCAGCGAAGGAGCGUUUGCAAGGCCAACUUGGGCGGCGAAAAA
RNAcentral lists this long non-coding RNA (495 nucleotides) under Eucalyptus grandis. RNAcentral's name for it is "long non-coding RNA (EGRA_LNC000404)". Lineage: Eukaryota; Viridiplantae; Streptophyta; Magnoliopsida; Myrtales; Myrtaceae. The record is from RNAcentral.